GACGAACGCUGGCGGCGUGCUUAACACAUGCAAGUCGAACGAUGAAGCCGGAGCUUGCCCUGGUGAAUUAGUGGCGAACGGGUGAGUAACACGUGAGUAACCUGCCCUUGACCCUGGGAUAACUGCGGGAAACAGUGGCUAAUACCGGAUACGACCACCGCAGGCAUCUCCUGGGGGUGGAAAGAAUGUCGGUCAAGGAUGGACUCGGGGCCUAGCAGCUAGUUGGUGAGGUAAAGGCUAACCAAGGCGACGACGGGUAGCCGGCCUGAGAGGGUGACCGGCCCCACUGGGACUGAGACACGGCCCAGACUCCUACGGGAGGCAGCAGUGGGGAAUAUUGCACAAUGGGCGCAAGCCUGAUGCAGCAACGCCGCGUGAGGGAUGACGGCCUUCGGGUUGUAAACCUCUUUUAGCAGGGAAGAAGCGAAAGUGACGGUACCUGCAGAAAAAGCACCGGCUAACUACGUGCCAGCCGCCGCCGUAA
Molecule: ribosomal RNA, 484 nt
Filed under: uncultured bacterium
Lineage: Bacteria
Description: partial 16S ribosomal RNA
Rfam family: Bacterial small subunit ribosomal RNA
Source: RNAcentral